This is a small nuclear RNA of Cercocebus atys (sooty mangabey), 108 nucleotides long. The record is from Ensembl. Lineage: Eukaryota; Metazoa; Chordata; Mammalia; Primates; Cercopithecidae.
GUGCUCACUUCAGCAGCAUAUAUACUAAAAAUUGGAAUGAUACAGAGCAAAUUAGCAUGGCCCCUGUGCAAGGAUGACAUGCAAAUUUGUGAAACAAUUACAUUUAAA